UUUCCCUGGGCGGCGAGCAUGUGACGAGUGGCUCAGUGCUUGGCAUGGUGUUAUCUCCGUCCCCGUGAUACCCAAGGCCUCAUGGCACCAAGGACAAAGGGCAGGGCUUGCGGUGGUGUGGUUAAGCGGUGGCGGCAGAAAAUACAACUCGCAGAUGACCUCGUGACGUCACUGGAGGGGAGGGCGGCCCAACGUGACGUCAAGAAGGGAGGAUAAUGAUGAGAGAAGAGUAUUCUUGGUGCCCCGCCAUGCCGAGCCCCGCCGAGCCCCGCCCCGUCCCGCCGUGGCUGUGGUAACAAUUUCUCGUCUCUCCCCGUCAAUAUUUAGCGUAAUUUCCAGGCUUUUCCAGGUGUUUUCAGGUGUUUUCUAGACUGGUGUGUAGGAGGAGGAGGAGGAGGAGGAGGUGGAAAGGAGAGAAAGUGUGUGAGGGAGAGGUAAGAACAGGAGGAGAAGAGGAAAAAAAUGUUUCCACCCAAUAUCAUUAUUUUUUUUUUUAUUAGUGGAGUUGGUAUUGUUUUGAUAUUUAAUUUAUUAUCAGGAGAAUGUAACAAGUUAUAAUGUAUAAUAAAAUUCGCUCUAGCUGUAAUUUUGUUUGUCGAUAAAAUAACUCUUUCGUCAUUUUAUUUAUUUCAACUUUUUUUUCUUAUUAGGA
Scylla paramamosain (green mud crab) is the source of this 652-nucleotide long non-coding RNA. RefSeq lists it as uncharacterized. The record is from RefSeq and is a predicted model, not a curated record. The transcript is spliced from 3 exons. NCBI's taxonomy places the organism in Eukaryota, Metazoa, Arthropoda, Malacostraca, Decapoda, Portunidae.